Molecule: non-coding RNA, 32 nt
Filed under: Trypanosoma brucei brucei
Lineage: Eukaryota; Euglenozoa; Kinetoplastea; Trypanosomatida; Trypanosomatidae
Source: RNAcentral
GCAGGUAAAGGUGAGAAAGUGAAGAUAUCAUA